ACGGAGGGUGCGAGCGUUAAUCGGAAUUACUGGGCGUAAAGCGUGCGCAGGCGGUUUGUUAAGCGAGAUGUGAAAGCCCCGGGCUCAACCUGGGAUGGUCAUUUCGAACUGGCAAGCUAGAGUCUCGUAGAGGGGGGUAGAAUUCCAGGUGUAGCGGUGAAAUGCGUAGAGAUCUGGAGGAAUACCGGUGGCGAAGGCGGCCCCCUGGACGAAGACUGACGCUCAGGCACGAAAGCGUGGGGAGCAAACAGG
This 252-nucleotide ribosomal RNA is filed under the name uncultured bacterium. RNAcentral describes it as "partial 16S ribosomal RNA". It matches the Rfam family "Bacterial small subunit ribosomal RNA", at positions 525 to 776 of the family's 1533-position model. The record is from RNAcentral.